GUACCCUACGGGAGGCAGCAGUUAGGAAUAUUCGGCAAUGGGGGAAACCCUGACCGAGCAAUGCCGCGUGUGAGAUGAAGGCCCUAUGGGUUGUAAAUCACUUUUAUUUGGGAAGAACUGUAAGUAGAGGAAAUGAUACUUACUUGACGGUACCUUUUGAAUAAGCCCCGGCUAACUACGUGCCAGCAGCCGCGGUAAUACGGAGGAUGCGAGCGUUAUCCGGAUUUAUUGGGUUUAAAGGGUGCGUAGGCGGAGUGUCAAGUCAGCGGUAAAAUUUCGGGGCUCAACCCCGUCGUGCCGUUGAA
Molecule: ribosomal RNA, 305 nt
Filed under: uncultured bacterium
Lineage: Bacteria
Description: bacterial SSU rRNA
Rfam family: Bacterial small subunit ribosomal RNA
Source: RNAcentral